GCUGCGGUGGUGUAGCCCGGAUAAGCAUAGCGGCCUUUCGAGCCGCUGAUCGCGGGUCCAAAUCCCGCCCGCAGCACCA
Molecule: transfer RNA, 79 nt
Filed under: Nitrososphaeria archaeon
Lineage: Archaea; Thermoproteati; Nitrososphaerota; Nitrososphaeria
Also listed under: 2 other names
Description: tRNA-Glu
Rfam family: tRNA
About the family: Transfer RNA (tRNA) molecules are approximately 80 nucleotides in length. Their secondary structure includes four short double-helical elements and three loops (D, anti-codon, and T loops). Further hydrogen bonds mediate the characteristic L-shaped molecular structure. tRNAs have two regions of fundamental functional importance: the anti-codon, which is responsible for specific mRNA codon recognition, and the 3' end, to which the tRNAs corresponding amino acid is attached (by aminoacyl-tRNA synthetases). tRNAs cope with the degeneracy of the genetic code in two manners: having more than one tRNA (with a specific anti-codon) for a particular amino acid; and 'wobble' base-pairing, i.e. permitting non-standard base-pairing at the 3rd anti-codon position.
Source: RNAcentral